Molecule: ribosomal RNA, 253 nt
Filed under: uncultured bacterium
Lineage: Bacteria
Description: partial 16S ribosomal RNA
Rfam family: Bacterial small subunit ribosomal RNA
Source: RNAcentral
UACGGAGGGUGCAAGCGUUAUCCGGAAUCAUUGGGUUUAAAGGGUCCGCAGGCGGUUUUAUAAGUCAGUGGUGAAAGCCUACAGCUCAACUGUAGAACUGCCAUUGAUACUGUAAGACUUGAAUUCGAUCGAAGUGGGCGGAAUAUGACAUGUAGCGGUGAAAUGCUUAGAUAUGUCAUAGAACACCGAUAGCGAAGGCAGCUCACUAGGUCUGGAUUGACGCUCAGGGACGAAAGCGUGGGGAGCAAACAGG